GGCAGUUCUCGGGUAAUGCACCCUGGAAUCGGGCUCCCUCUUCUAUGGUUCUGGGUGUGUCACCUGAGAAUCGCU
Myotis davidii is the source of this 75-nucleotide non-coding RNA. The record is from Rfam. NCBI's taxonomy places the organism in Eukaryota, Metazoa, Chordata, Mammalia, Chiroptera, Vespertilionidae.